This 305-nucleotide ribosomal RNA is filed under the name uncultured bacterium. RNAcentral's name for it is "bacterial SSU rRNA". It matches the Rfam family "Bacterial small subunit ribosomal RNA", at positions 334 to 655 of the family's 1533-position model. The record is from RNAcentral.
GGCGCCUACGGGAGGCAGCAGUGGGGAAUAUUGCACAAUGGGCGAAAGCCUGAUGCAGCAACGCCGCGUGAAGGAAGACGGUUUUCGGAUUGUAAACUUCUGUUCUUAGUGAAGAAUAAUGACGGUAACUAAGGAGCAAGCCACGGCUAACUACGUGCCAGCAGCCGCGGUAAUACGUAGGUGGCGAGCGUUAUCCGGAAUGAUUGGGCGUAAAGGGUGCGCAGGCGGUCCUGCAAGUCUGGAGUGAAACGUAUGAGCUCAACUCAUGCAUUGCUCUGGAAACUGGAGGACUGGAGAGCAGGAGG